CGUUAAAUAGCUUAAGUAAAGCCUGGGUCUCUUAAACCUAAAUAUAGUAAUUUCAUUUACUUUUAACGA
This 69-nucleotide transfer RNA is filed under the name Agenioideus sp. SJW-2017. Its description in RNAcentral is "tRNA-Lys". It matches the Rfam family "tRNA". Rfam says of the family: Transfer RNA (tRNA) molecules are approximately 80 nucleotides in length. Their secondary structure includes four short double-helical elements and three loops (D, anti-codon, and T loops). Further hydrogen bonds mediate the characteristic L-shaped molecular structure. tRNAs have two regions of fundamental functional importance: the anti-codon, which is responsible for specific mRNA codon recognition, and the 3' end, to which the tRNAs corresponding amino acid is attached (by aminoacyl-tRNA synthetases). tRNAs cope with the degeneracy of the genetic code in two manners: having more than one tRNA (with a specific anti-codon) for a particular amino acid; and 'wobble' base-pairing, i.e. permitting non-standard base-pairing at the 3rd anti-codon position. Lineage: Eukaryota; Metazoa; Arthropoda; Insecta; Hymenoptera; Pompilidae. The record is from RNAcentral.